CGCGCCCAUCGUCUAGCGGUUAGGACAUCGCCCUUUCACGGCGGUAACCGGGGUUCGAUUCCCCGUGGGCGUGCCAG
This 77-nucleotide transfer RNA is filed under the name Neisseria flavescens SK114. RNAcentral's name for it is "tRNA-Glu". It matches the Rfam family "tRNA". Rfam says of the family: Transfer RNA (tRNA) molecules are approximately 80 nucleotides in length. The record is from RNAcentral. Lineage: Bacteria; Pseudomonadati; Pseudomonadota; Betaproteobacteria; Neisseriales; Neisseriaceae.